ACGGAUGGCCCAGGGCUCCAAAGGCUCGUUUCCUAAGUGAGAGAGAGCCUGGCUGAAGCUGUAUUACCAUUCAUUCUCCAGCCUCCGAAGUCUCAAAGCAUCACUUCCACCAUACUCUAACUGUCAAGACAAACACAAAGGCCCAGACAUUACAUGUAAAUGGAAUCAUACAAUAUGUGAUCUUUUGUGACUGGCUUCUUUCACUUAGCAUAACGUUUUCAAGGUUUGUUCGUGUUGUAGCAGAAACUGCCAGACUGUCUUCUGAAGUGGCUAUAAUAUUUACACUCCCAUCAGCAGUGUAGAAGGGGUCUCACUAUGUUGUCUGGAGUGCUGUGGUGGAGUGGAGUGGCUAUUCACAGAGCCUGUUCUGCUGGGACACAGAAUCACUUGCUCCAUCUCAUACAUUGAUGAUGAUUAAUUUGUAUGUGUACCUUCCAAAAAAGAUGGUUGUGUUUGAAUGGAGGCCUUCUGGACAGGAAAAUAUGGAGAGUGCGUGCUUUGGAUUCAAGACUGGGAAUGAGGGGACCAGAAACCUAUUCUGUGGCUGUUUCUUGUUAGGACUUUCCUAAGCCUCUGGAAAAGUGCAAAGUACAAUUAACAUUUGAGUCUGUCUGAGUCAUGAAGAAAUGGAGAUUACUGAAAAUAAUUCAUUUUGGUAUCUUCUUACAUCCUGAGAGACUAAUCUUUCCAAGUUCAUCUGAGGCUCCUCUUCUCCAUGACAACCUCAUCCAGGGAUUUCUUCCUGUCCUGGUGUUUUAUGACAUGUGGAAGGGGACUGUAGCAGGUGAUCUCCAAAGUCUCUGGAGACUUACUAAUGUGCAUCCUCAUCUCGCUUGUAAGGAUAAUAGCCUUCCUCCAAACCUCACACACUUUUGGAGGAGAUCACUUUUUUUAAAGUGCAUGGAAAUGUUUUGAAACAGUGAAAUCUAUAAUGAUAGGUUUCAUAAUUCUAACAUCCACACCAUAUGAAUCACAUCCUUCCUGAGAUAAUGAGCACACAAUUGCCUGGAUACCUGAAGGAAUGGAGACAGCGGCAGAAAACACUGCAGAGAGGUGGAAACAUCCGUUAAUAUUUUAAAAUCCCAUUACUGCUACCAACAAUAAUAAUGGAUGCAUAGAAAUAGAUCUGGAUUAGCUGAGCUUGAAACAGUCCAUCUCACACACACACAAAAGAAUUUCAGGUAAUGAAGAAAAGAAAAGGAAAAAAAUAA
Molecule: long non-coding RNA, 1211 nt
Filed under: Homo sapiens (human)
Lineage: Eukaryota; Metazoa; Chordata; Mammalia; Primates; Hominidae
Description: long intergenic non-protein coding RNA 635
Source: RNAcentral